GUAUAUUCUUACCUCGAUUGAGGAGGCGCAUAGGGUAACUCUUGAGGUAAAACUUUAGAGUUCACUUCAUGCCAAACCACCACGUGAGGGUGAACUCAGCCAACGCCAAGGAACGGCUAUGUUUUCAAAAUAAAAACAUGAUUUAUGCGUACAUGACUUUUUAACAGCCUUGGCAGACUCGUUUGGGAUAACCCCAGGCUAAGGUAUCCUUGACAACUGAGUAUGAGAAUGAUUUUGGCACGAACCAAGCUUUUCAGGAAAUCAUAAGCCUCGUUGUUUAUUUAGGUGAAAUGAAUCUAUUUUAUCUU
Molecule: long non-coding RNA, 308 nt
Filed under: Theobroma cacao (cacao)
Lineage: Eukaryota; Viridiplantae; Streptophyta; Magnoliopsida; Malvales; Malvaceae
Description: long non-coding RNA (TCAC_LNC000947)
Source: RNAcentral